This 199-nucleotide ribosomal RNA is filed under the name uncultured Bacillus sp. RNAcentral's name for it is "partial 16S ribosomal RNA". It matches the Rfam family "Bacterial small subunit ribosomal RNA", at positions 1186 to 1382 of the family's 1533-position model. The record is from RNAcentral. Lineage: Bacteria; Bacillati; Bacillota; Bacilli; Caryophanales; Bacillaceae.
AAAUACAUCAUGCCCCUUACUGUUCUGGGCUACACACGUGCUACAAUGGCCGGUACAGACGGACGCAAAGCCGCGAGGUGGAGCAAAUCCUAAAAAGCCGGUCUCAGUUCGGAUUGCAGGCUGCAAUUCGCCUGCAUGAAGUCGGAAUCGCUAGUAAUCGCAGGUCAGCAUACUGCGGUGAAUACGUUCCCGGGCCCUU